Molecule: unclassified non-coding RNA, 249 nt
Filed under: Penicillium decumbens
Lineage: Eukaryota; Fungi; Ascomycota; Eurotiomycetes; Eurotiales; Aspergillaceae
Description: partial internal transcribed spacer region
Rfam family: Eukaryotic small subunit ribosomal RNA (bases 1-46)
Source: RNAcentral
AAGUCGUAACAAGGUUUCCGUAGGUGAACCUGCGGAAGGAUCAUUACCGAGUGAGGGCCCUCUGGGUCCAACCUCCCACCCGUGUCUAUCGUACCUUGUUGCUUCGGCGGGCCCGCCUCACGGCCGCCGGGGGGCUUCUGCCCUCUGGCCCGCGCCCGCCGAAGACACCAUUGAACGCUGUCUGAAGGUUGCAGUCUGAGCAAUUAGCUAAAUAAGUUAAAACUUUCAACAACGGAUCUCUUGGUUCCG